CAGUCGCCACGGUAAUACGAAGGGGGCUAGCGUUGUUCGGAUUAACUGGGCGUAAAGGGCGCGUAGGCGGGUUUUUAAGUCAGAGGUGAAAUCCCAAGGCUCAACCUUGGAACUGCCUUUGAUACUGGAAGUCUUGAGUCCGGGAGAGGUGAGUGGAACUGCGAGUGUAGAGGUGAAAUUCGUAGAUAUUCGCAAGAACACCAGUGGCGAAGGCGGCUCACUGGCCCGGUACUGACGCUGAGGCGCGAAAGCGUGGGGAGCAAACAGGAUUAGAUACCCCUGUAGUCCCUGUCUCUUAUUA
Molecule: ribosomal RNA, 301 nt
Filed under: uncultured bacterium
Lineage: Bacteria
Description: partial 16S ribosomal RNA
Rfam family: Bacterial small subunit ribosomal RNA
Source: RNAcentral